This 460-nucleotide ribosomal RNA is filed under the name uncultured bacterium. RNAcentral's name for it is "bacterial SSU rRNA". It matches the Rfam family "Bacterial small subunit ribosomal RNA", at positions 28 to 509 of the family's 1533-position model. The record is from RNAcentral.
GAUGAACGCUGGCGGCGUGCCUAACACAUGCAAGUCGAACGGGAAGCCAUCUUCGGAUGGUGGAGAGUGGCGAACGGGUGAGUAACACGUAGCUAACCUGCCUUCAAGAAGAGGAUAACUAUUGGAAACAGUAGCUAAUACUCUAUAAGCUCACGUUAUGUAGAUGGAUGUGAGAAAGCGAAUGCGCUUGAAGAUGGGGCUGCGAGCCAUCAGCUAGCUGGUGAGGUAAAGCUCACCAGGGCGACGACGGCUAGGGGACCUGAGAGGGUGACCCCCCANACUGGAACUGAGACACGGUCCAGACUUCUACGGAAGGCAGCAGUGAGGAAUAUUGCACAAUGGGCGCAAGCCUGAUGCAGCGACGCCGCGUGGGUGAAGACGGUUUUCGGACUGUAAAGCCCUUUUCNGUGUGACGAGAGUGGACGGUAGCACAGGAAUAAGUCUCGGCUAACUACGUGCC